Long non-coding RNA from Lampris incognitus (smalleye Pacific opah), 435 nucleotides. RefSeq lists it as uncharacterized. The record is from RefSeq and is a predicted model, not a curated record. Lineage: Eukaryota; Metazoa; Chordata; Actinopteri; Lampriformes; Lampridae. The transcript is spliced from 3 exons.
AUCAGUCCUGGGAAAUUUUCGGCUAUGCUCUUUGCAUUUUGCAGUAGAUGACUACAACAGAGAUAGGGUCAUAGUUGAUGGGAGGACGCAAAAAGAAAUUGCUGAAGACAUCUGCUCUGCCCGCUCUUUUGGAAGCAAUAUUGGCCAUGGCAGUGAGAACCCCCAGAGAAGCGAGGGCAAAUAGAGAUUGAAGAACAAUCUGCCUCUACUGCGACUGUCACAGGCAGUGUGCCCAGCCGUGGGACAAAAACAACCUGUUGCUGCUUCAGCCCAUAGUCAAAGUGGGCUCGUUCCAGAGGUCUGUUGGAAGUGUUCCACUGCUAUGUUGAAGUACUACAUACCCAAGAGAUAACACUUCUCCUACAUGGGCAUGAGGAAUAGAGGGCAACUCACUGUUUUGGAGCAUGAUGAAAAUAUUGUGAAGAGGAAGCCUGC